Molecule: long non-coding RNA, 1681 nt
Organism: Oxyura jamaicensis (ruddy duck)
Lineage: Eukaryota; Metazoa; Chordata; Aves; Anseriformes; Anatidae
Exons: 3
Source: RefSeq, a predicted model, not a curated record
AUGGCGUAACCUGUGGUUAACUCACUUCCUGCAAGGGUGGGAAGGGUGAGUUUUGAUCCCUGAAUUUUCUGACACGGAGGAGAACUUGAAUCUGCCUCUGUUUUCUGGCUCCUAUUACACAGCUUGGUCAUAUCCCUAAUCUGUGUGAGGACACAAGGCUGUGUUGUGCACGAAGAGAAAUCCACCUGAGCUGCGCAGGAACCACAUCAUGCUCCUGCAGGUCUCCUGCCUGGGAAACCAGGGAUGGGACAUUCCUACAGGAGCACCUGCCUUGAACACAGCUAUAGCACCGAGCGCUGUAGCCAUGAAAUGUACAUAUUGCACUCUGAUGAGAUGGAUUUGCUUUUUUUUUUUUUUUUUUUUUUUCUCAUUCAAGUCAACUGUCGUUUUAUGUGAAAGUCAGGAAUAGGCUUUUUGUAAUUUAUUUAAAAUAGCAAGAGUCCAACCUAAUACGAAUUUUCCAAUGAUAACCACUCCAUGUCAUUAAUGAAUAAGUACUUCUAUACUAUUUUGGAGAACUGCCACCAUUAAGAAGUCUGCUUUUUCAGAAAGAGAACUGUUCACUAGGAAAGGAAAGGUCAAAGGCAAUUAUUUUGUCUAAAUCAUGAUGACUAUUUCUUUUGACAAGCUCUCUAACAAUUUCUGGCAUGGCCCUUAAACUGACUGAAAAUCUAGCUUGAAUAGUCUUAUCAUUGAAUGUUUGUAGUGUCAUUUUCUAUCCUGAGUUUUCAUUUUAGGCCAGUAUUGGAAAUGAAAAAAUAAUGCUGCCUUGUUUUGUCCUGAAAUGUACCAGUCAGUACCUAAUGGCUUCCCAGUUCCUUUCUUAAUUUAUUACAUCCCAGAGAAUGCACUGCAAGAAUUUAUUCACUGGGAGAGGGAGACACUUUUUCAGGUCCUUCUGAGAUAUCCCUGCUUAGUACUACAAUGUGACAUAAUUAGCAAGUGGUCCUGAUAGAAGAUCAUUAGAGAAUAUCCCAGACCAUACUAGCAAGAAUGCAUUUAGGGAUUUAGUUAAUUUUAUUUAUUUAAAACACACAUCUAAAGAAGUAGCAUUUCCUUCUAAAACCCUACCUGACUUCUCUACUACUUCUAUUACUUACUUCUCAUUUCAAAAAUUGCAUAGUGGUGAGCUUUGUAUGAGCGCUUCAGGCACAUUCUCCCCUUACAGAUUUACUGAAAUCCAAUAGACUUGUGCAUCAGACAAAACCUGGAGCAGUAGCUUGCCAUCACCUGUGGCAUCUCCUUGGGAUCCAACAAACUUUUUGACUCCUUGUUCUUGAGGAGAGGUGGGAAGAGGCAGUACAGAUUCUGCUGCAGGAAGAGCAGCAAAGGAACUUUGCCAUUACUUUGCCGUUUUGCUUCCCACUUCUGAUCAGAGUCAGGUGCCUGUGAAGGGUGAGGUGGAGCCCCUGGGAGGGGACAGGGCAGUGUAAUGGUGAAGCCAUCAGCUACUGAGGACAUUUCAGUCUUUUUUCUAUUCAGAUGCCUGGGUAGCCUACAGGUUUUAAGUACAUUUAAUUCCAUCCUGGUGCUGGAUUCCUUAGGACUAGUAAAGCCUAAUCAGAUAUACCUAACAAGAGUAAUAAUAACAGCAGUAAUAGAAACGCGCUCAUAAACAGACCUGUGAAAUUACACGAAGCAAGCUAAAGCUGUAUAGGACAGAACAAAACCAAGGACAGAA